GAUGAACGCUGGCGGCGUGCCUAACACAUGCAAGUCGAGCGAUUCUCUUCGGAGAAGAGCGGCGGACGGGUGAGUAACGCGUGGGUAACCUGCCCUGUACACACGGAUAACAUACCGAAAGGUAUGCUAAUACGAGAUAACAUGCUUUUAUCGCAUGGUAGAAGUAUCAAAGCUCCGGCGGUACAGGAUGGACCCGCGUCUGAUUAGCUAGUUGGUAAGGUAACGGCUUACCAAGGCGACGAUCAGUAGCCGACCUGAGAGGGUGAUCGGCUACAUUGGAACUGAGACACGGUCCAAACUCCUACGGGAGGCAGCAGUGGGGAAUAUUGCAUAAUGGGCGAAAGCCUGAUGCAGCAACGCCGCGUGAGCGAUGAAGGCCUUCGGGUCGUAAAGCUCUGUCCUCAAGGAAGAUAAUGACGGUACUUGAGGAGGAAGCCCCGGCUAACUACGUGCCAGCAGCCGCGGUAA
This 468-nucleotide ribosomal RNA is filed under the name uncultured bacterium. RNAcentral's name for it is "partial 16S ribosomal RNA". It matches the Rfam family "Bacterial small subunit ribosomal RNA", at positions 28 to 523 of the family's 1533-position model. The record is from RNAcentral.